GCUGGGAUGGCGGAAUUGGUAUACGCGCCAGUCUUAGGAACUGGUCCCGCAAGGGAUGGAGGUUCAAGUCCUCUUCCCAGCA
This 82-nucleotide transfer RNA is filed under the name Candidatus Adlerbacteria bacterium RIFOXYB1_FULL_48_10. RNAcentral describes it as "tRNA-Leu". It matches the Rfam family "tRNA". From Rfam's summary of the family: Transfer RNA (tRNA) molecules are approximately 80 nucleotides in length. Their secondary structure includes four short double-helical elements and three loops (D, anti-codon, and T loops). Further hydrogen bonds mediate the characteristic L-shaped molecular structure. tRNAs have two regions of fundamental functional importance: the anti-codon, which is responsible for specific mRNA codon recognition, and the 3' end, to which the tRNAs corresponding amino acid is attached (by aminoacyl-tRNA synthetases). tRNAs cope with the degeneracy of the genetic code in two manners: having more than one tRNA (with a specific anti-codon) for a particular amino acid; and 'wobble' base-pairing, i.e. permitting non-standard base-pairing at the 3rd anti-codon position. Lineage: Bacteria; Candidatus Adleribacteriota. RNAcentral also lists the same sequence under 2 other names. The record is from RNAcentral.